RNAcentral lists this ribosomal RNA (253 nucleotides) under uncultured bacterium. RNAcentral's name for it is "partial 16S ribosomal RNA". It matches the Rfam family "Bacterial small subunit ribosomal RNA", at positions 524 to 776 of the family's 1533-position model. The record is from RNAcentral.
UACGUAGGGUGCGAGCGUUGUCCGGAAUUAUUGGGCGUAAAGAGCGCGCAGGCGGUCGUUCAAGUCGCGUGUGAAAGCCCCCGGCUCAACCGGGGAGGGUCGUUGGGGACUGGAUGGCUUGAGGACGGCAGGGGCCGGUGGAAUCCCCGGUGUAGUGGUGAAAUGCGUAGAGAUCGGGGGGAACACCCGUGGCGAAGGCGGCCGGCUGGGCCGGUCCUGACGCUGAGGCGCGAAGGCGUGGGGAGCGAACGGG